AGGUGGCGCUCAGGCAUUUUUCAACUACACGAUGUGGCAAUGGUUCAGAGGUUGACCACAGCAAUCCGAUUUAGGAGCUAGGCAUUAUAAUCAUAAAUGCAGAUUUAUGCCCAGUGAACUACAGACUAUCUUUACUAUCUAAGAGCCUGAACACACUCAGAUAAAAUGUGGCUUUAUCUCAAGAUGGUGGGUGAAUAUAUGAAGUACCUCUUCUUCUUCUCAAAAUAUUAUUGAAUGUGGAGGGAAUGUAAAUAAGUAUAAAUAAGAAUAACUGCAUUGAAAAAAAAGGCAAACAGGAUAGAUUCCAUCACUGAACCAUCAAAUGAUUCCAUUUGAACCAUCAAUGAACUUCUGGAAGAUGCUAUGCAGACAGAAUCAGAUUGAAGGCGAAAUCCAUGAGACCAAGAAGUCCCAAAACACAACCCAGUGGAAAGAGGAAAUGACACCGUUCUCCUCCCUUAUGAAAGGGAGGUGAUGUGGAGUAAACACCAGCCCCAACAUAUGAUGACACAAUCUAAAUCUUCAAAAUAUUAACUUGAUUUCCAGAAGGGGAAGCAGAUGUAUUUUGUUUUCUCCUCAGUCCUUCUGUGAUUCUACAAGUUGAGCAAUAUCUACAUGUGAAAAUGACUUUGACUGUUUCUUUUAUUCCUCUACACUAGAUUUUUUUGUUGUUUCGUUUGUUUUAUGAGAUAAGAUCUCCCUCCGUCACUGGAGCACAGUGAUGUGAUCACAGCUCACUGCAACCUUGACCUCCUGAGCGCAAGCGAUCCUCCCACUUCAGCUUCCUGAGUAGCUAUAACUACAGGUGCAUGCUACCAAGCCCGGCAAAAACAAAAAACAAAAACAAAAAAACACUGGUGGAUACAGUGUCUUACUACGUUGCCUACGCUGGUCUUGAACUCCUGGCCUCCUAGUUUUAGCCUUUUUCACAGUUUGUGCUUCCCUGACCCUUUUCACUCCCUGAAAUCAGAACGUGAUUAUGUUCUGCCUGACUUUAUUUUGCUUAUUACAGAUUUGUUUUCAGGCCUAUGCCAACCACAUCUCUCCAAGCUCUAUUUUUUUUUCAGUUCCACAAAGCAAAAUGUGACUGAUAAAAUGAUGUGCAGACAAGCAAAUACAGAGUUGGGGUGACUCGUAUAAAUAUAUUUCAGUUUUUAAAUAGUAGAAAUGCUGCCCUUUUUUUUCUUGCCUCCUUUGCUUCCUAAUUUACACAGUGCAGUUUGUUUUUUAAGACAUAUUUUUUGGUGCAGUUUUAGGUUCACAGUAAAAUUGAGCAGAAGGUGUUAAAAUUUCCCAGGUUCCCACACCUACAUAGCCUCCUCCACUAUCAAUAUCUCCUACCAGAGUGGUACAUUCGUCACAAUCAAUGAACCUUCAUUGACAUAUCAUUAUCACCCAGAGUCCAUAGUGUACACCAGAGUUCAUUCACUCUUGGUGUUGCACUUUAUAUGGGUUAAAGCAAAUUUGUAAUGACAUAUAUCUGCCAUUAUAGCAUCAGAAAGAUGAGUUCCACUGCCCUAAAAGUCCCCUUUGCUCUGCUUGUUACACAGGGCAGUUGUUGAGACAAAGCUUCAGGUACUCAGAAAUUUUUUUCUUAUGUCUUCAUUUUUUUAACUUAGUGGAGAUUUUCACUUUGAUAUAGCUGAUCAUGUGUUAGGUAAGGAGGAUAGCUCAGAGCCUCACUCCCCAAAUGAAAGGACCUCAAGUGUAUCAGCUCCUGAAAGGGGGGAUUCUUUAGUGAGUACAGAAUCCCGAUGGUGAUACAUCAGUCCUUUCAUCUCUUCUGCACUUUUCCAGCCCUUUGGUUCUCAGGAAACUGCCAUCUCUACUGUUGAGGGCAAGUUUCCGAUCCACAUGGGCAUGUUCCAAGUUUUUUUGUUUGUUUCUAGGCAUUGUAUUCUUUUUCAAUUUUUAAAAAUGUGUUUUUUGACAUGAGGUCUCGG
This 1943-nucleotide long non-coding RNA is filed under the name Homo sapiens (human). RNAcentral describes it as "HSALNT0354464". The record is from RNAcentral. Lineage: Eukaryota; Metazoa; Chordata; Mammalia; Primates; Hominidae.